GAUGAACGCUAGCGGGAGGCUUAAUACAUGCAAGUCGAACGGCAGCAGUCUGAACCUAGUUCGGAGCUGGCGAGUGGCGCACGGGUGAGUAACGCGUACGCAAUCUACCCUAAGAGGAGGAUAGCCCUGGGAAACUGGGAUUAAUACUCCAUGUGGUCUAUGAAUGGCAUCGUUUAUAGAUUAAAGAAUUUUCGCUUAGGGAUGAGCGUGCGUCCUAUUAGCUAGUUGGUGAGGUAGUGGCUCACCAAGGCGAUGAUAGGUAGGGGGCGUGAGAGCGUGGCCCCCCACACGGGUACUGAGACACGGACCCG
This 311-nucleotide ribosomal RNA is filed under the name uncultured bacterium. RNAcentral describes it as "bacterial SSU rRNA". It matches the Rfam family "Bacterial small subunit ribosomal RNA", at positions 28 to 334 of the family's 1533-position model. The record is from RNAcentral.